This 484-nucleotide ribosomal RNA is filed under the name uncultured bacterium. RNAcentral describes it as "partial 16S ribosomal RNA". It matches the Rfam family "Bacterial small subunit ribosomal RNA", at positions 30 to 507 of the family's 1533-position model. The record is from RNAcentral.
AUUGAACGCUGGCGGCAGGCCUAACACAUGCAAGUCGAGCGGAUGAAGGGAGCUUGCUCCUGGAUUCAGCGGCGGACGGGUGAGUAAUGCCUAGGAAUCUGCCUGGUAGUGGGGGAUAACGUCCGGAAACGGGCGCUAAUACCGCAUACGUCCUGAGGGAGAAAGUGGGGGAUCUUCGGACCUCACGCUAUCAGAUGAGCCUAGGUCGGAUUAGCUAGUUGGUGGGGUAAAGGCCUACCAAGGCGACGAUCCGUAACUGGUCUGAGAGGAUGACCAGUCACACUGGAACUGAGACACGGUCCUGACUCCUACGGGAGGCAGCAGUGGGGAAUAUUGGACAAUGGGCGAAAGCCUGAUCCAGCCGUGCCGCGUGUGUGAAGAAGGUCUUCGGAUUGUAAAGCACUUUAAGUUGGGAGGAAGGGCAGUAAGUUAAUACCUUGCUGUUUUGACGUUACCGACAGAAUAAGCACCGGCUAGCUUCGUG